GAGAAAACGCACAGACCAGAAGACACCCAGACAGUGGGCUGUUCUCACUGACGACAUUUGUGCCGCAUUCCUCCUCGCCCCUGGAGUGCAUUGCGACACUCAGACUGGUGGUUCUGGGAGCCAAGCAGCUGAUGGGAGAGCCUCAGGAGGCAGCAGAGACAAAUUAAUCUUCAGAUCCACCAGUUCCCCUGAAACAUACCACUUGCUAAACUGAAUUUCAAGCCAAGAGCGGCAGUUUUCCACAGCCCAAGUCUGGAAAAGCCUGUGAAACCAUGUUGGGUUCGAAACCAAAGUUGGUUUUUUGCUGUUUUUCGUGGAGCACCAGAGGGACAACUCCAGAAUUCCAGAUGUGAGGCAGCUGGAGGGACGUGUGUGUCCAGACAUCUGCACAGCAGCUUCAGAAAGGCGACCACGGACAGCAGCUAAAAACCACCACUGACGACCUUCUUUCUCUUUUCUUACCUGAACCUCUGGACUUACUUGUCUGAAAAGAGAGAGGAAAAAAAAAAAGCUGGCACUCAUUGUUUUGUUUUCUCAAUUUUCUUGUCAACUGACUCAUGAUAAAAGAAUGUCCUUUUCAAUCAAUUUCAAUUCCGCAGAACAGAAAAAUAGAGAAUUUAUAGGCAACUAUUGGAAACAAAGGAACCAUCUGUUUUUUUAAGUAUAAUUUUUCUCUGAAAUCGUUCUCUCCAAAUACUUGGAUCAUUUAUUUUCCCUCACCGCACCACUCUGCAGUGACCCAGAGAACCCCAUUGUCCAACCCAGAUUAUCAGAUAUUCUGAAGGGAUGAUGCAAUGUGUCAACAAAGACUCCAUCUGCCGUUAUAUAAGCAUCUCUAUGCUCAAUAAAAGAGAAUGAUCCUAAGCUCUAGUUAUAAAGAACCAUGACAAAAAAAAUAUGAAAAUUUUCUAGGCAAAAAAACAGGCUGUUAGUUUAUUUUAAAUAAAUAUUUUAGUGACAGUGGUUUUGUUUUAGCAUACUGAAAAUACUAAGUCCUAGAUUAUGAACCACCCCCCCAUUAUAUAAAUAGAUUAGAAGGGCAUGUUGGAUAUGAUCUCAUUCCUUCAUUUGCUCAUUCAUUUACCCAAAAAGUAUUUACAUUUCUUUAAUAUUUAAUGUAGUGCUUAAUAUAAUGUUGUAGAUAAUAAAU
Bos taurus (domestic cattle) is the source of this 1150-nucleotide long non-coding RNA. The record is from Ensembl. Lineage: Eukaryota; Metazoa; Chordata; Mammalia; Artiodactyla; Bovidae.